RNAcentral lists this ribosomal RNA (329 nucleotides) under uncultured eukaryote. RNAcentral's name for it is "partial 18S ribosomal RNA". It matches the Rfam family "Eukaryotic small subunit ribosomal RNA", at positions 1470 to 1796 of the family's 1831-position model. The record is from RNAcentral.
CCCUUAGAUGUCCUGGGCUGCACGCGCGCUACACUGACGAACUCAACGAGCUUAUCACCCUGGCAGAGAUGUCUGGGUAAUCUUUUGAAAGUUCGUCGUGCUGGGGAUAGAUGAUUGUAAUUAUUCGUCUUGAACGAGGAAUUCCUAGUAAGUGUGAGUCAUCAGCUCGCGCUGAUUACGUCCCUGCCCUUUGUACACACCGCCCGUCGCUCCUACCGAUUGAAUGGUCCGGUGAGGUUCUCGGAUUUUUUCUGUUGUUUGGUUCGCUAAACGAUUGAAGAGAGAAGUUACCCAAACCUUACCAUUUAGAGGAAGGAGAAGUCGUAACA